GUGCUGACUUCAGCAGCACAUAUACUGAAAUUGGAAUGAUGCAGGGAAGAUUAGCACGGCUCCUGCACAAGGAUGACGCAAAUUCGUGAAGCAUUCCAUAUUUUA
Molecule: small nuclear RNA, 105 nt
Organism: Diceros bicornis minor
Lineage: Eukaryota; Metazoa; Chordata; Mammalia; Perissodactyla; Rhinocerotidae
Source: RefSeq, a predicted model, not a curated record